AACGCGAAGAACCUUACCAGUCCUUGACUUGUCCACUAUGGGUUUGAGAGAUCAGAUCCUUCACUUCGGGUGGGUGGAACACAGGUGCUGCAUGGCUGUCGUCAGCUCGUGUCGUGAGAUGUUGGGUUAAGUCCCGCAACGAGCGCAACCCUCAUCUUCAGUUGCCACCAGGUAAGGCUGGGCACUCUGAAGAAACCGCCGGUGACAAGCCGGAGGAAGGCGGGGAUGACGUCAAGUCCUCAUGGCCCUUACGGACUGGGCUACACACGUACUACAAUGGUGGUGACAAUGGGCAGCGAAAGCGCGAGCUGGAGCUAAUCCCCAAAAGCCAUCUCAGUUCAGAUUGCACUCUGCAACUUGAGUGCAUGAAGUUGGAAUCGCUAGUAAUCGCAGAUCAGCACGCUGCGGUGAAUACGUUCCCGGGCCUUGUACACACCGAGACGAC
Molecule: ribosomal RNA, 445 nt
Filed under: uncultured bacterium
Lineage: Bacteria
Description: bacterial SSU rRNA
Rfam family: Bacterial small subunit ribosomal RNA
Source: RNAcentral